GGAUGAGUGGCCGAGCGGUUUAAGGCACUGGUCUUGAAAACCAGCGAGGGGAAACCCUCCGUGGGUUCGAAUCCCACCUCAUCCGCCA
This 88-nucleotide transfer RNA is filed under the name Ruixingdingia sedimenti. RNAcentral's name for it is "tRNA-Ser". It matches the Rfam family "tRNA". From Rfam's summary of the family: Transfer RNA (tRNA) molecules are approximately 80 nucleotides in length. Their secondary structure includes four short double-helical elements and three loops (D, anti-codon, and T loops). The record is from RNAcentral. Lineage: Bacteria; Pseudomonadati; Pseudomonadota; Alphaproteobacteria; Rhodobacterales; Paracoccaceae.